RNAcentral lists this transfer RNA (70 nucleotides) under Camelus bactrianus (Bactrian camel). It matches the Rfam family "tRNA". From Rfam's summary of the family: Transfer RNA (tRNA) molecules are approximately 80 nucleotides in length. Their secondary structure includes four short double-helical elements and three loops (D, anti-codon, and T loops). RNAcentral also lists the same sequence under 1 other name. Lineage: Eukaryota; Metazoa; Chordata; Mammalia; Artiodactyla; Camelidae. The record is from Rfam by way of RNAcentral.
GGGAGUAGCUCAGUGGUAUAGUGCAUGCUUAGCAUGCAUGAGGUCCUGGGUUCAAUCCCUAGUACCACCA